UCAGUGCUUACAAUUUAAAAGCGUUCUACUUAGAUUUUGUGGCAGACAAAAAAAACUUGAGUGGCCGGUAGAAAUGUUCAGUGACCUGCUACAGUGGCAGGUGAGGAAAAAGGUUAAUUUCAGACCCUGGAUCUAUCAGACAAAUAUCAUAUAGCAGAUGUAUUGUUACGAUUCUGUUAGUUUUGGUUUUGUUUGUUGUUUUUUUUGUGUUUGCUCUCCCCCUCCUGUUCUCUCUUUUUCUCCUCCCAGGGCAGCAACGAGGCACACCAGGUUUCAUUUAGAUGAUCAACUUCCCCAUAAAAGCCUGGCCUACACUAAUUCUGUCUCAUUAGGUUCCCUGGUGCCUUGCUGCUGCUCAGCUUCCGUGUUCUCCUGUGUGUGAGAUAUUCCAUAUGCUCAGGCCUCGUGUUCAUUCUUGCCUCGCCAUGAGCCUGCCAGCUCCCUGCCACCCUGCCUGCGUUUUUGCUUCCUGGUUGGAAAAUAAACUCUGUUUUCAUUUUUAC
Molecule: long non-coding RNA, 503 nt
Organism: Sebastes umbrosus (honeycomb rockfish)
Lineage: Eukaryota; Metazoa; Chordata; Actinopteri; Perciformes; Sebastidae
Exons: 2
Source: RefSeq, a predicted model, not a curated record